This 253-nucleotide ribosomal RNA is filed under the name uncultured bacterium. Its description in RNAcentral is "partial 16S ribosomal RNA". It matches the Rfam family "Bacterial small subunit ribosomal RNA", at positions 524 to 776 of the family's 1533-position model. The record is from RNAcentral.
UACGUAGGGGGCGAGCGUUGUCCGAAUUCACUGGGCGUAAAGCGCGCGUAGGCGGACUUUUAAGUUGGGGGUGAAAUGCCGGAGCUCAACUCCGGAACUGCCUCCAAAACUGGGAGUCUUGAGGUAUGGAGAGGGAAGUGGAAUUCCUGGUGUAGCGGUGAAAUGCGUAGAUAUCAGGAGGAACACCCGUGGCGAAGGCGGCUUCCUGGCCAUAUCCUGACGCUGAGGUGCGAAAGCUAGGGGAGCGAACGGG